UAGCGUAUAUUAAAGUUGUUGUGGUUAAAAAGCUCGUAGUUGAACCUUGGGCCUGGCUGGCCGGUCCGCCUCACCGCGUGYACUGGUCCGGCCGGGCCUUUCCCUCUGUGGAACCCCAUGCCCUUCACUGGGUGUGGCGGGGAAACAGGACUUUUACUGUGAAAAAAUUAGAGUGCUCCAGGCAGGCCUAUGCUCGAAUACAUUAGCAUGGAAUAAUARAAUAGGACGUGYGGUUCUAUUUUGUUGGUUUCUAGGACCGCCGUAAUGAUUAAUAGGGACAGUCGGGGGCAUCAGUAUUCAAYUGUCASAGGUGAAAUUCUUGGAUUURUUGAAGACUAACUACUGCGAAAGCAUUUGCCAAGGAUGUUUUCAUUAAUCAGGAACGAAAGUUAGGGGAUCGAAGACGAUCAGAUACCGUCGUAGUCUUAACCAUAAACUAUGCCGACUAGGGAUCGGACGGUGUUAUUUUUUGAC
Molecule: ribosomal RNA, 474 nt
Filed under: uncultured Fusarium
Lineage: Eukaryota; Fungi; Ascomycota; Sordariomycetes; Hypocreales; Nectriaceae
Description: SSU rRNA
Rfam family: Eukaryotic small subunit ribosomal RNA
Source: RNAcentral